AUGGUCACCGAGUCGUGCGGGUGAGAUCCUGCGUUCAGGUUCGAGCAUCGCGCAGCGUUGCCCGCAGGGUGAGGCCACAGGCCGAAUCAAUCCUGCACGGCCCACCC
RNAcentral lists this small RNA (107 nucleotides) under Serratia marcescens. RNAcentral's name for it is "RtT sRNA". It matches the Rfam family "RtT RNA". Rfam says of the family: This family represents a bacterial cis-regulatory element known as RtT RNA. Lineage: Bacteria; Pseudomonadati; Pseudomonadota; Gammaproteobacteria; Enterobacterales; Yersiniaceae. The record is from RNAcentral. RNAcentral also lists the same sequence under 1 other name.